Molecule: ribosomal RNA, 194 nt
Filed under: uncultured bacterium
Lineage: Bacteria
Description: partial 16S ribosomal RNA
Rfam family: Bacterial small subunit ribosomal RNA
Source: RNAcentral
CCUACGGGAGGCAGCAGUGGGGAAUAUUGCACAAUGGGCGCAAGCCUGAUGCAGCCAUGCCGCGUGUAUGAAGAAGGCCUUCGGGUUGUAAAGUACUUUCAGCGAGGAGGAAGGCGUUGUAGUUAAUAGCUGCAACGAUUGACGUUACUCGCAGAAGAAGCACCGGCUAACUCCGUGCCAGCAGCCGCGGUAAU